CCCUUAGAUGUUCUGGGCCGCACGCGCGCUACACUGGCACUCUCAAUCAGAGCCUGGAUCUAACACUUUGGGGUAUUCUAUGAAGUGGUGUCGUGACUGGGAUUAACCCUUGCAAUUAUUGGUUACGAACGAGGAAUUCCUUGUAAUCGCGGUUUAUCAGCCCGCGUUGAAUGCGUCCCUGCCCUUUGUACACACCGCCCGUCGCUCCUACCGAUGGAUCGUCCGGUGAAGCUCAUGGAGGGGCGGUUGUCUCAGCUGCCGUCGAAGUGAAAUGGACCUCACGAUCUAGAGGAAGGAGAAGUCGUAACA
This 309-nucleotide ribosomal RNA is filed under the name uncultured eukaryote. RNAcentral describes it as "partial 18S ribosomal RNA". It matches the Rfam family "Eukaryotic small subunit ribosomal RNA", at positions 1470 to 1796 of the family's 1831-position model. The record is from RNAcentral.